This 253-nucleotide ribosomal RNA is filed under the name uncultured bacterium. RNAcentral describes it as "partial 16S ribosomal RNA". It matches the Rfam family "Bacterial small subunit ribosomal RNA", at positions 524 to 776 of the family's 1533-position model. The record is from RNAcentral.
UACGUGGGGUGCAAGCGUUGUCCGGAAUCAUUGGGCGUAAAGCGCGCGUAGGCGGCCCUGUAAGUCCGUUGUGAAAGUCAAAGGCUCAACCUUUGAAAGCCGAUGGAUACUGCAGGGCUGGAGUCCGGAAGAGGCGAGUGGAAUUCCUGGUGUAGCGGUGGAAUGCGCAGAUAUCAGGAGGAAUACCAGAGGCGAAGGCGGCCAACUGGGCUUGUUCUGACGCUGAGGUGCGAAAGCGUGGGGAGCGAACAGG